UAGCUUGCUAUCAGGCGUCGAGCGGCGGACGGGUGAGUAAUACUUAGGAAUCUACCUAGUAGUGGGGGAUAGCUCGGGGAAACUCGAAUUAAUACCGCAUACGACCUACGGGAGAAAGGGGGCAACUUGUUGCUCUCGCUAUUAGAUGAGCCUAAGUCGGAUUAGCUAGAUGGUGGGGUAAAGGCCUACCAUGGCGACGAUCUGUAGCUGGUCUGAGAGGAUGAUCAGCCACACCGGGACUGAGACACGGCCCGGACUCCUACGGGAGGCAGCAGUGGGGAAUAUUGGACAAUGGGGGAAACCCUGAUCCAGCCAUGCCGCGUGUGUGAAGAAGGCCUUUUGGUUGUAAAGCACUUUAAGCAGUGAAGAAGACUCCGUGGUUAAUACCCACGGACGAUGACAUUAGCUGCAGAAUAAGCACCGGCUAACUCUGUGCCAGCAGCCGCGGUAAUACAGAGGGUGCAAGCGUUAAUCGGAAUUACUGGGCGUAAAGCGAGCGU
This 500-nucleotide ribosomal RNA is filed under the name uncultured bacterium. Its description in RNAcentral is "bacterial SSU rRNA". It matches the Rfam family "Bacterial small subunit ribosomal RNA", at positions 72 to 572 of the family's 1533-position model. The record is from RNAcentral.